This 372-nucleotide ribosomal RNA is filed under the name uncultured bacterium. Its description in RNAcentral is "bacterial SSU rRNA". It matches the Rfam family "Bacterial small subunit ribosomal RNA", at positions 32 to 381 of the family's 1533-position model. The record is from RNAcentral.
AAUCAACGCUGGCGGCGUGCCUCAGACAUGCAGGUCGAACGCGAAAGUUCCCUUCGGGGAGUAAGUAGCGUGGCGCACGGGUGAGUAACACGUAGGUAAUUUGCCUUCGGGUGGGGAAUAACAGUCGGAAACGACUGCUAAUACCGCAUAAUGCAGCGGCUCGACAUCGAGACAGUUGUUAAAGCGGGGGAUCCUUCGGGACCUCGCGCCUGAAGAGAAGCCUGCGGCAGAUUAGCUAGUUGGUGAGGUAAUGGCCCACCAAGGCUACGAUCUGUAACCGGCCUGAGAGGGCGGUCGGUCACACUGACACUGACAUACGGGUCAGACUCCUACGGGAGGCAGCAGUCGGGAAUUUUGGGCAAUGGGCGCAAG